RNAcentral lists this ribosomal RNA (253 nucleotides) under uncultured bacterium. RNAcentral describes it as "partial 16S ribosomal RNA". It matches the Rfam family "Bacterial small subunit ribosomal RNA", at positions 524 to 776 of the family's 1533-position model. The record is from RNAcentral.
UACGUAGGGCGCAAGCGUUGUCCGGAAUUAUUGGGCGUAAAGAGCUCGUAGGCGGUUUGUCGCGUCUGCUGUGAAAUCCCGAGGCUCAACCUCGGGCCUGCAGUGGGUACGGGCAGACUGGAGUGCGGUAGGGGAGAAUGGAAUUCCUGGUGUAGCGGUGGAAUGCGCAGAUAUCAGGAGGAACACCGAUGGCGAAGGCAGUUCUCUGGGCCGUAACUGACGCUGAGGAGCGAAAGCGUGGGGAGCGAACAGG